AUGACGGCUGACUGUGACAUCAACUCUGCUGCUUCAGACCGGACCCGGCGAACCGAGUCAGCUCUCUUCGAGAGGGUCCCACUGAGUGAGAUCGAUCUCAUAUCCAAUGCUGUUCUGAUCAGGACACCUUCUGUGCCCUGUGAGUACAUGAUUGUGGUGCAGUCAGACAAUGUCCCAGAGACCAUAGUGUUUCAGAGAGACUCAUCAGUCAGUAAGAAAAUGAGGAAUGCUCGAGCAGCAGCUGGUGGUGCUGCCACUGGUGCACCGGGCAACGCCCAGUCUGACUGCACACCCUGUUUGACCCCGCCUAUAGCCCCAUCACAAAUGGUCAAAGAUCAGCCAGCCACCAAAUUGGUCACGCCGUUAGUGUUGACUGAGGACCCUCCACUUUUUGGUGGCGGAAAUAAGGCUGUCUUAACCCAACUUGGUUGGAAUACACUUUUACCUGGAGACAAUUCUUUCUACAAGCACAUGGACGUAAAUAAAGCAUUACCUGAUGCAAAUGCCUACAACCCCUACAUGAAUGAAAUGAUAGUGGAUCAAAUGAAUGGGGUGAACUUUGGUAUUUUACCCAAGGUGUCAGAUGAGAUGACAGGCUUCAAUGUUAUGGGCCCACCCACCUUCAUGCCACCAGGUGUUUCAGCAGCAGAAGAAAUAAGUGCUUCUAGUUUAGUGUAUCCUCCGAUUUCAGCUGGACAGGAGGCUAAUACACUCUGUUUGGUGCUCCCGACGAUUUCCAUUGCUCAAGAAAGUGGAGCACUCCCAUUGCUUAGCCCACCAUCUAUCUCAAAGCCACAAGCCAUUACAGUCCCCAGUGUGAUGUGCCCAGCCAUCUCACAACCAGAGGAAACAAAGACCUCCAAGGCAGAGGAAAUAGAGGCCCUCCGAUCAAUGUACCCUCCUAUUGUGCCACCCAGUUUACCAAACCCAUCUGUAUCAGCUCCACAGGAAACAACAGCCACUCUGCAUAAUCCCCCAUUUUUGUCACAGGAGGAAACAAGACCCCCUUCAUUGCCACUCACCCAGGCCACAGUUGCCCACAUGUAUCAGUGCACUGGUCAGAAUGCACUAGCAUUUCAUGUGAAUGAGGAGAGCAGAAGAACACCAUAUAUGAUUCCAUUGGUCUCCCAAAGCAUUAUGGGAGUGACACAGAUGUAUGUUCAACCACAACAACCCCAGUUCAUUAACAGCUGGUCCAGAGAAGCAGAUUCACAAAGGCCAUGUAACACAGCGCCUACUGCGGCCAUGCCAGAGUGCCAGUAUGUUAGACCUGAAGCAUGUGGUAGCAGCUGGAGACCUUGCCACCUGGCACGCCCUGAGUUUAUGGCCGGGAUGCCAACAGCUGUGGCUUGCCCAGGAGGAUCUAGGACUGUGAUUGGCUGUGGGCAAGAGCAAGGCUACCUCCCUGACCAGGCCAACUUGCCAAUGCACCAGGACUUUGGGCCCCGGUUCAGCUCCCAUCACAUACGUAUGUGUGGUGCCAACUUGUUUCAAACCCUCUGCCCCAUGAGUGGUGCCUACAUGCCAGUCAAACCCUCAGACCAUCGCUGCUGCCAGGCUGCCCCUGAUGUGGUCCUUCCACACUAUGCACUGAUCAACAGCCCAACUCACGGUGUUGCCUCUUAUCUUUGCCCUACUCCAUCAUCCAUGCAGCCCCAGGGUUUUGCCUAUGAUUCUGUCCACAUGUAUGGUCCCCACAGUGAAACUGUAAAUGCAAUGCCAUCCACCUUCAAUGUGAGGGCCCAUGCAGGCCACCAGCAAGGGACAACAGAACACUGCAGAGAGCCCAGUAAUAUGCCAAUGGGUGAACAUCCAAAUGAGCAGAAUUAUUCUGGUAUAUAAAAAUUUGAUUUCUCUGUCAUUUGUUAGAAUGUGUCUUGGAAUAAGUGUGACAUUUUGUUCAGAUUUUCAUUUUAUCUCUAAUUUAUUCUUCUCUAAAUUCCAGGUUAAUGACAGCACAUCGCCAGGAAUGAACAACUUAUUUAAUUUGUUCCUGAAAACAUACUGAACACCUUCAACAUUCUGCAAUAAACAUAGCUAUCUUAUGAAA
This 2050-nucleotide long non-coding RNA is filed under the name Oncorhynchus kisutch (coho salmon). Its description in RNAcentral is "lncRNA (ENSOKIG00005044890.1)". Lineage: Eukaryota; Metazoa; Chordata; Actinopteri; Salmoniformes; Salmonidae. The record is from RNAcentral.